CCUACGGGAGGCAGCAGUGAGGAAUAUUGGUCAAUGGGCGAGAGCCUGAACCAGCCAAGUCGCGUGAAGGAUGACGGCCCUACGGGUUGUAAACUUCUUUUGUCAGGGAGCAAUUGGGUCCACGCGUGGGCUUAGCGAGAGUACCUGAAGAAAAAGCAUCGGCUAACUCCGUGCCAGCAGCCGCGGUAAUACGGAGGAUGCGAGCGUUAUCCGGAUUUAUUGGGUUUAAAGGGUGCGUAGGCUGUUUCGUAAGUCGUGUGUGAAAGGCGCGGGCUCAACCCGCGGACGGCACAUGAUACUGCGAG
This 305-nucleotide ribosomal RNA is filed under the name uncultured bacterium. RNAcentral's name for it is "bacterial SSU rRNA". It matches the Rfam family "Bacterial small subunit ribosomal RNA", at positions 338 to 639 of the family's 1533-position model. The record is from RNAcentral.